RNAcentral lists this ribosomal RNA (312 nucleotides) under uncultured bacterium. RNAcentral describes it as "bacterial SSU rRNA". It matches the Rfam family "Bacterial small subunit ribosomal RNA", at positions 1043 to 1354 of the family's 1533-position model. The record is from RNAcentral.
UAUUGCCUUUCUCAACCCCUGGUGUGGGAAGGUGGGGUAAAUUCCCGCACGAAGGCCACCCCUUUCCUUAGUUUCCCACCCGUUAAGAUGGGCACUUUAAGGAGACUGCCGGUGACAAACCGGAGGAAGGUGGGGAUGACGUCAAGUCAUCAUGGCCCUUACGGCCAGGGCUACACACGUGCUACAAUGGUCGGUACAAAGGGUUGCCAAACCGCGAGGUGGAGCUAAUCCCAUAAAACCGAUCGUAGUCCGGAUUGCAGUCUGCAACUCGACUUGCAUGAAGUCGGAAUCGCUAGUAAUCGCGGAUCAGAA